Molecule: ribosomal RNA, 1038 nt
Filed under: Embidopsocus needhani
Lineage: Eukaryota; Metazoa; Arthropoda; Insecta; Psocodea; Liposcelididae
Description: bacterial SSU rRNA
Rfam family: Eukaryotic small subunit ribosomal RNA
Source: RNAcentral
GUAGUGACGAAAAAUAACGAUGCAGAACUCGAUCCGAGGCUCUGCAAUCGGAAUGGGCACAGCCCAAAACAUUUAACGAGUAGCAACUGGAGGGCAAGUCUGGUGCCAGCAGCCGCGGUAAUUCCAGCUCCAGUAGCGUAUAUUAAAGUUGCUGCGGUUAAAAAGCUCGUAGUUGGAUCUGUGUAUCGCACCGUCGGUUCGCCGCCCGUCGGCGCUCAACUGACGCGUACGCAGUACGUCCUAGCCGGACGCUCCGUCGAGGUCGGAGAUUGAGUUUCGGUAAUCAUCCCGAUCUCUCCGGUCAUACCUCCCGUCCGCUAAUGGGUCCGCGUCCGGUUCACGUCCUCCCGGCUACCCUCGCGGUACGUCCGGGCAGCGUCCUCUGUCCGGCGCGGUACUCGGGCGGGGUAAAAUUUACGGAGGCCGUUCGAUCCGGCCCUCGUCACGGAGCGAACCCCGUCUCGCAUGCUCUUAACCGAGCGUCGAGAUGGGCCGGCACUUUUACUUUGACAAAAAGUAAGUGCUCAAAGCAGGCUGAAUUUACCGCCAGAAACUAACUUGCAUGGAAUAAUAGAAUAGGACUGCGGUCCUAAUUUUGUUGGUUUUAAGGAACCGCGGUAAUGAUUAAUAGAAACUGACGGGGGCAUUAGUACUGCGGCGCUAGAGGUGAAAUUCUUGGAUCGUCGCAUGACUAACCUAAGCGAAAGCAUUUGCCAAGGAUGCUUCCAUUAAUCAAGAACGAAAGUUAGAGGUUCGAAGGCGAUCAGAUACCGCCCUAGUUCUAACCAUAAACUAUGCCAACCAGCGAUCCGCCGGCGUUCCUAUGAAUGGCUCGGCGGGCAGCUUCCCGGGAAACCAGAGUUUUUGGGUUCCGGGGGUAGUAUGGUUGCAAAGCUGAAACUUAAAGGAAUUGACGGAAGGGCACCACCAGGAGUGGAGCUUGCGGCUUAAUUUGACUCAACACGGGAAACCUCACCAGGCCCAGACACCGUGAGGAUUGACAGAUUGAUAGCUCUUUCUGGAUUCGGUGGAUGGUGG